RNAcentral lists this long non-coding RNA (7108 nucleotides) under Sus scrofa (pig). RNAcentral's name for it is "lncRNA (ENSSSCG00000043799.2)". The record is from RNAcentral. Lineage: Eukaryota; Metazoa; Chordata; Mammalia; Artiodactyla; Suidae.
GUCUUGACAUUGUCCUCUAGCAGUGUGGAGUCCUUGUGCUUCAGAUGUGCUAUGGUUUCUCAUGGCCACAUUUUCAAACAUGAAAGGGUAAACAUGAACAAUUUCUUGAAUAUCUCCUUUUUUUUCCCCUUGAACUACCCUGAUUUACUCAUCAAAAUUGCAUUCUUGGAAUGAAUUUGUAUCAUGAUCACAAAUGAAAUUCAUUAAAUAAUUCAAAAUCAACUGGAGAAUGUUUUUAAGUAGGAAGAUAAAAGUGCAGGAGCUGGCAAUGUUGAAACCUAGAUUCUUAAAUAGUAUGUUAAAAUUGAUAUAAAGUAUGCUUGGGGGUAAUAUUUUUAAAUAGCUUAAAAACAAAAGGAAAAAAAUGAUUUUUAUUUUUAAGUAAUUCAAAAUAUUGGCCAGAGAUAGGAAGUCAAGGCUAGUCCUGCCUUGAAAUAAUGUUUAGAAGGUUCCAUUGUGGCCCCGUGGUAACCAGCCUAACUAGUAUACAUGAGGAUGCAGGUUUGAUCACUGGCCUUGCUCAGUGGGUUAAGGAUCUGGUGUUGCUUGUGAGCCGUGGUGUAGGUCACAGACAUGGCUGCAUUGCUGUGGAAAUAAAAAAGAGAAAGAAGGAUGGAAGGAAGGAAGGGAGGGACAAAGAAAGUUUAGAUUUCAGAAUUUGAGUUUUAUUUAUUUAUUUGCUUUAUAGGGCCACACCUGAGACAUGGAAGUUUCCAGUCUAGGGGUUGAAUCAGAGCUACACUCUCCAGCCUACACCUCAGCCACAGCAACGCCAGAUCCCGAUCUGCAUCUACAACCUACACAGAAUUCACAACAAUGCCGGAUCCUUAACCCACUGAUCGAGGCCAGGGAUCAAACCCAGAUCUCAUGGAUACUAGUCGAUUCGUUUCCAUGCACCACAACAGGAACUCCCUUGAGUUUUAUGUUUGUUUCAAUAAAAAGAUUAUUUUGCUUUCUUCAACAAGAGAGGGUUUAAGGCUUUGCACUUUGUAAAACCUCUAGAUGUAAUUAAGUUUUUAAAACAAAUCCUAUAGAAAUAGAGAAUGUCAAAUCUAUUUCAAACAGGAUAGAAUUUACUAUUACAGCAGAUCUAUUUAUUCACAAAAUUACCUUCCAAAGAUAACUAUGCUCAGAAACAAAAGGGAGAAACAAAUUUUUAAAUACUAUUGUUACUUUAGUGCCACUUUAAUCAUAUGUUUUGACCUCAAUUUUAUUCUUAACAAUUAAAAAAUAGAUGAUUGGGUAAUCUUUUUCUUGAAACACAAAGGAAUCCAGCUCAACUUUUAAAAUCUGCUCUGUCAAUGCACUUUUCUUCAUAGGACCAUCCAUUACAUUUAAGUAGAUAAUUAAGUUGCCUCUUAAUUAUUUUCACACUAGCUAUAUGACUUCAUUUUUGUUACUUGCAAUAAUUGGAACUUCAGCUGAAAUUGAAGAGAACACUAUGUCAAUACUUUAUAAAAGUAUUUUAAAUAAUACUUUUAAUAAUUUUUGCAUCAAUUCAAAUAUUCAGAAAGUACUGAAGAGUAGUAGCUAGUUUGUAUUCUCUUCAGUUUGCUUCCACAGAGUAAUUCUAUUGCGAGUUUUAUUAUUUUUUUUUUUUUCUAUUAGUUAUCAAAGAGAUUUAUUACUGCACUGUGUCCCCAAAUCAUGUAAAUAGUGUUCUGGAAUAGAAGAUGAAAACUUUCUUUAAAAUAUAUGUUUAGUUCCAAGAGGUGACACUGCUGUAAUGUAAAGACCUGUUAAAAAUAAUCCAGUUAAUAAGUUAUUUUCCAAUCCACAGUAGAUCUUUAGGAAAAUAGUCUGAAUACCAGUUGUUUGCCACUAUGGCUAAUGCACAGAUUACUAAAUCAUUAAUGUAGUUUUCUUGAGUACUAGGUAACAGAGCUAAAAAUAAUGUUACUAAUGAAAUUGGAGACAUUUUGACUUUAUCUCCUUAAUACAGCCAUUCUCUCACUGGUUCCUGUCGUGGCACAGUGGAAUCUGACUAGUAUCCAUGAGGAUGUGGGUUUGAUCCCUGGCUUCACUCAGUGGGUCAGGGAUCCUGCGUUGCCUUGAGCUGUGGUGUAGGUUGCAGACAUGGCUCGGAUCCUGUGUGGCUGUGGCUGUGACUUAGGCCAGCAGCUGUAGCUCCCAUUAGACCCCUAACCUGGGAACUUCCAUGUGCCACAGGUUCAGCCCUAAAAAGCAAAAAAUAAAUAAAUAAAUAAAUAAAUUAGAGCCGUACUCUGAAUUGGUUUGGUGAGGGAAUCAUUUAAAGAAUAUGUGUUAAGCUUAGUUCAUUCCCAGGCAUUGUGCCAAGUGCAAGGGAUAGCAGGGGAAUUAACAUUACAUCUGAAGAAUUGAGGCUGGAGGAAUAAUGUGGUAUGAUAAUUCCCAGUAAUCAAGGGAAUUGGAUUGUGUAGUGGGAGCACAAAUGAGCAAUAAAUUUUGUAUUUGGAGAGAUGGUCAGUGAAGUUCUCAGAGGAGACAGUCAAGGUGACUUUUGAAGGAUCGGUUUGAAAAUGGGUAGAUGCAGAGGCACAGAGAGUGAUAUAAAUAUGUCACAUUUAAAAAUGUUUUUUGCAUGACUGGAAAAUAGGGAAAGAUUAUUUGGUACAUAGUAGUUAUCUCAAAUUAAUGGAUUAUGGGGAAACAUUAAGAGAUAAGGCCAGAAAAGGGAGAAGGAACAUGUGUAUCAUGCUGUAAUUUUAACUCUAACCUGAAAAUAUUGAAGCUUUUUAGAAGGUCUGUGGACUUGCUCGGAUCUCUCACUGAAGAAUUUACUAUUUUAGCAGUAAGACCAAAUAAUAGGUAAGAUGGGAAGUAUAGUGGUAUAGAAAAACAGUUUUGGCCUUUGUUUAACUGAAAGACUAUCCUAACAAUUCUGGCUGUUAUCUGGAACAGUAUCAAGGAAUCUCUUGAGUCAAACCUGAACUCUUCUGACUGCCACUUUCUGGCUGUGUGACCUUGGAAGUGUUACUCAACAGUUCUGUUCCUCUGUUUUCUGAUUUGUAAAGUAGAUUUAUAGUAGCACUUGUUUCAAGAAAUAGCUGUGAGUAUUAAAUAAUGUAAUGCAUGUAUUCUAUUAACAAUGCCACCGAAUGUAAGACUACUAGGAACACAAGGGAGUUGAACAAAAGUGGGUUUAUUUUUUGUUGAAACUAGAGCACACACGGUAGGGUUUAUCAGUGGAAGUGUUCUGCAAAAGGGUGCUCAAAAGGCCUUAUUGCAUUGGGGCUUGUGUUAAGUGACUUAGAAGUUCAAGGAAAGAAGAGUUUGCUCUGGAUUGCAUUCUCUCAGGCAGGGGGGUAAUUUUAUGACUGGGUAUCUUAAUAGAGCUUGUUCAGAAGGUGGAAAAAAUGAAGGGGAGUUAAAGCUGUAAUUGGUAAAGAAGCAGCAGUCACCUAGGUGGGCAGGGGACAUUUGGUAUUUUGUGCUUUGCGUUGUAACAUGGUUUUUAUCUGUACUUAGACAAAAUUAUGAAGAGAUCUUGUCUGUCUUAUUUCAUCAGGGUCAUAGAGUGACCUUGCCUAAUACUGAUGUUCUGUGAAAUUAAAUUUAUGUUCUGCAAGAGAACAGCAAGACCUCACUGAUAGUCACAAGCCACUUCCCAGAUGCCAGGGGCUGCUUUUCUCCUCUCAUCGUAAUGCUUGUCAUAAACUUAACACCUAAAAAAUACUUCCUGAGGAGUUCCCGUCGGGGCACAGUGGAAAUGGAUCCAACUAGGAACCAUGACGUUCCGGGUUCGAUUCCCUGGCCUUGCUCAGUGGGUUAAGGAUCCAGCAUUGCUGUGAGCUGCCCUGUAGGUUGCAGACGAGCAUCAGAUCUGGCCUUGCUGUGGCUGUGGCAUAGGCCGGCAGCUACAGCUCCGAUUCGACCCCUAGCCUGGGAACCUCCAUAUGCUGCAGAUGGGGACCUAAAAAGACAAAAAAUAAAAAUAAAAGACAACUUCCUGAGGAAUUGUAAUAUUGAGCCAACAUUACAGGAUCAAAUAUAUUUCAGUCCAAGUUUAUGGACAGUUUGGUCUGUUUUCAACCUACCCUAUCGGCCUGCACCUUCUUACUCCUUUUCUAUGUGAGAAGAUUUUUCUUAUGUUUUAGAUUUUUACUCUGAGUUAGUAUUUCUCAUACACAAAAGAAUAAAUCAGAAUGGUAAACUUCGAAACCACAGGUUCUUUAAACAUUUUUAUGAAGGUUUAAAAAUUUAAAAACAUAAUCAUUCCAACAUCUGCAUUUUAUGUUGGUGUAACAUUGGUCAAUCCUUACAGUGUUUCUCACGACUGAACUUAAAUGCUAAGUGUAGUUAUUUGUAUACUAUCUGUGUUCCCUAAUAUACCAUAAAACCUGUUAGCCUUGUCUUAUCUCUAGUGUAAAGUGCAGUGCCUGGCACAGUAAGUGUUGAAGAAAUGGUUGUUGAAUAACAGAAGGAGGAAAAGAAAAAAAAAAUUGUGCUUAGGAAGCAGUACUGCAACUAAAUUAUAUUGAGCAAUUACUCAAUGCCAGGUACUAUUGUUAGCACGUUAACAAAAGUUAUAAGGAAAUGACCUAAAGUUUAGUAUUUAUCUUCUGUGAAGGAAAUUUUGACUUAAGCUGACGGUGUGUAACUUGCUGUUCUAGGAGGUGAUAAAACUCCAUUCCAGACUUGUGUCAUGCAUCAAACAUUUAAUAAAAACACUCAUAUUGCGCUGGGAAUUGAAUUUAUCAAAGCCAGUCAUUAGCAAUUGCUGCUUUGUAAUUAAAUGGACUCCUUCAGCUACCCUCCCUCUGUUAUAAUCACCUGGGAGUCUCAAAUUGGUUUAAACACAGCCCCCCCCACCCCCACCCCCACCCCCGCCCCGACCCUGUGCUGGCACCUAACAGCUGAAUGGGGCUGGAGAAAAACCUACAACUGCUGCUAAUUUCCUUUUGGUUUGUUGUCCCAAAUGUCAAAUAGGUACUAUGCAAAGAUCUUGCCAUACUUCACAAAUAAUCUUGUUCUCUUACUCUCCAAAAUUACUUUGUCAUACCUUCAUUUCCCACGUCGUCGGCACCACCAUUCUCUUACUACUGGAUCUUUCAUCAGCAUAUGAACAUUCUCUUUUGUCUUCUAUCUUUAAACAAGAUAAAACCCUUCCUGAGCCUCACAGCCCCUUCUGCCAUGUCUCUCACACAUCACAGAAAGCAUCUUAAAAGCUCCCUCACAUUUCAGUUUACCUCUCCUGACCCUAACUAGGUUUUCAUUACACACUCCCCUGAAACUGCUCUUGUCAGGAUUACCAAACACCUCCGCUUUGCCAAGGCAAUAGUCAGUCCUCUGGGUUAGACUGAAGCAUUUACUCAGUUGACCACUGCAUCCUCUUCAUGCAUACGCUGUCUAUCCGUGGCUUCCCUGACAGCAUGCUCUCCCAGUCUCUUGCUCCUUGCUUCAUCCAUGGGCUGCAGCUCCUCCGUUUUACCCUUAAAUGUUGGAAUGCUCCAAGGCUCAGGUCUGGGGCUUGACUUCAGCUCUUCUCUUUUUUUUUUCUACUCUGUAUCAUCGAAUCCCUGGGUUUAGAUACCAUCUAUAUGCAAACUUAUUUUGCCAGCUCUGACCUUUUCACUGAGCUAUAAAUUUAGAUAUCUAGAUGUCAGCUUAACCCUUCUCUCCUUGAAUAACAAAUAGGCAUUUCAGGAGCUCCCUCAUGGCUCAGUGGGUUAAGGAUCUAGCAUUGUCACUCCUGGGGCUCUGGUUACAGCCGUGGCAUGGGUUCUAUCCCUGGCCUGGGAAUUUCAGCCAAAACAAACAGAGGCAUUUCACACUUAAAAUGGCCAAAGCAGGAGUCUUGGUUUUCUCCCUGUGAAAACUGUUUUUUCUUCAUUCUUCCUCACCUCAGUAUGUGGUACCUCCUUUCACUCAGAUAGAUAUUCAGGACAGGAACCCCGGAGUGGGCCUUUUCUCUCCAUUUCCCCUGCCUCGCUAUACUCUACCUCAGACAUACAUCCUCAGUACAUUUCUCUCCAAUCCAUUGCUUCACUUGCGUCUAAGCUUCCAUUAUCUUCUGUCAGUUCUUAUCUGAAUUAUUAUGGUACCUCUUAACUAUUCUCAGCUUCCUACCUCAUCUGGCUGUUUCUUAGCUUUUGACAUUUCCUAGCACCCAGCACCCAGUCUCACCCACUGCAGUCUGCUGAAAAAAAAAAAAAAAGACAAAGUCCUCCUUUGGGCCUUUGGUUCAGUAUGGGCUCUGCUUGGAAUGCUAAGCCCUGACAUUCAAGUCUCAGAACUAGUGUCCUGGAUCGGUGAAAGGUGAAAAUUUACCUAACCAUAUACUCUGAGUUAGCACCUUUACCCAGUCAGCAUCCCUCUGUAUGUCUCGAUAUACUUUUCACUGUUGGAUUGAUCUCAAUCAUAUUUUUGUCAUUUGGUAUGUCUGCUAUUAGGGUAUCAAUCUAUAAAUUGGGGACCUUACCACUGUAUUCUUAGCACUAAGAACAUUGCCUGACACAUGAUAAGUACUUAGUGGAUAUUUGUUGCAUAAAUAAAUGUAUAACCUUAUUUAUUUUAAUGUAAAACUGAUUUCACCCCUACAACUUUGACCCUAGGAAAAUGUGCCUCCCGUGUUUCCUAUGGCUUCAUUACCUCAUUUCUUACUUUGAGAAGCUUUGCAGCUCUUUACAUCUAUACCAAACCCCUUGAGAAUGAAAAGAAGAAUGGUAUGGUAUCUUUGAAUAAACAUCAGUGAGGAAGCUCAUCAGUAAGUGAUCAAUAUAGGCCUCCCAAAAAAAGAGAGACGCUGUCAUAGAAAUCGCCCAUACAGUUGAGUACUUGGCUUGACCCUUGAUUUAAAUAAAUAUACUUCCCUGGUAAGUCUGACGAAAGGUAAUGCAGUAUUAUGUGAUGUGAAGAGCGAUGAGACAAAAGCUUGAGUCUACUUUGAAAUAAGUAAAUCUGGAGUUCCUGUCAUGGCGCAGUGGAAACAAAUCCAACUAGGAACCAUGAGGUUGCCAGUUCGAACCCUACCCGUGCUCAGUGGGUUAAGGAUCCGGUGUUGCUGUGAGCUGUGGUGUAGUUGCAGAUGUAGCUUGGAUCCUGUGUUGCUGUGGCUGUGGUGUAGGCUGGCAGCUAUAGCUCCAAUUUGACCCCUAGCCUGGGAACCUCCAUAUGCUGCAGGUGC